GGCUGAGGUGGCCGAGUGGUUUAGGCAAUGGACUAUUAAUCUAUUGUGCUCUGCACGCGUGGGUUCGAAUCCUAUCCUCGCCG
Hemiscyllium ocellatum (epaulette shark) is the source of this 83-nucleotide non-coding RNA. NCBI's taxonomy places the organism in Eukaryota, Metazoa, Chordata, Chondrichthyes, Orectolobiformes, Hemiscylliidae. The record is from the annotation of a RefSeq genome assembly.